AUUGAACGCUGGCGGCAGGCCUAACACAUGCAAGUCGAGCGGAUGAAGGGAGCUUGCUCCUGGAUUCAGCGGCGGACGGGUGAGUAAUGCCUAGGAAUCUGCCUGGUAGUGGGGGAUAACGUCCGGAAACGGGCGCUAAUACCGCAUACGUCCUGAGGGAGAAAGUGGGGGAUCUUCGGACCUCACGCUAUCAGAUGAGCCUAGGUCGGAUUAGCUAGUUGGUGGGGUAAAGGCCUACCAAGGCGACGAUCCGUAACUGGUCUGAGAGGAUGAUCAGUCACAGGGGGACUGAGACACGGCCCAGACACCUACGGGAGGAGGCAGUGGGGAGGGUUGGACAAUGGGCGAAAGCCUGAUCCAGCUAUGCCGCGUGGAGAAUGAAGGCCUUCGGGUGGUAAACUGCUUUUGUACGGAAAGAAAAGACGCUGGUUAAUACCGGGGGUCCAUGACGGUACCGGAAGAAUAAGCACCGGCUAACUACGUG
Molecule: ribosomal RNA, 484 nt
Filed under: uncultured bacterium
Lineage: Bacteria
Description: partial 16S ribosomal RNA
Rfam family: Bacterial small subunit ribosomal RNA
Source: RNAcentral